UAAAGAUCCAUUUAAGCCAAGUGAUUAAAGCUGCCGCUACUGCCGCCGUGUCGUCCAAUUCCCAGCAGCUGCACAGGCCAAUAAUUUAUGCUAAUUCACUUGACUCCCAUGCAACCGGCAGUCGACCGCAGGGAAGAAAAAAGGAAAACACGCCCACAAAAUGACAAUGAGAAUGACUUGCUGUAAGCGAGACUUAGCCGCAGGCACGUGCCACACUCACACACACACUGACACACAGAUAUAUACG
This 247-nucleotide long non-coding RNA is filed under the name Drosophila guanche. Lineage: Eukaryota; Metazoa; Arthropoda; Insecta; Diptera; Drosophilidae. The record is from RNAcentral.